AGCUUAUUGUUUUUUAUAAUAGGUAUUUUCUGCUCAGUGUAAAAUAAACAGCCGCGGUAUUUUGACCGUGCAAAGGUAGCAUAAUCAUUUGUUCUUUAAUUGGGGACUGGAAUGAAGGAAAGUUUGAGAUUUUAUCUGUCUCUUUUUUAUGUUAUAAUUUGCUGUUUUUGUGAAGAAGCAGAGGUUUAAAAAAAAGACAAGAAGACCCUUUUAAGCUUUAUUUUUAAUUUUUAUUUUGUCUAUUUUAGUAUUUUAAUAAGAAAGAAAAAAUUUGGUUGGGGUGACUUGGGAAGAUAAGAAUCUUCCUUAGAGUUUAAAACAAUUUGUUUAAAAGUGACCC
RNAcentral lists this ribosomal RNA (340 nucleotides) under Lineidae sp. KuramBio2 77.2. RNAcentral's name for it is "partial large subunit ribosomal RNA". Lineage: Eukaryota; Metazoa; Nemertea; Pilidiophora; Heteronemertea; Lineidae. The record is from RNAcentral.